This 466-nucleotide ribosomal RNA is filed under the name uncultured bacterium. RNAcentral's name for it is "bacterial SSU rRNA". It matches the Rfam family "Bacterial small subunit ribosomal RNA", at positions 328 to 792 of the family's 1533-position model. The record is from RNAcentral.
UUCCCAGACUCCUACGGGAGGCAGCAGUGAGGAAUAUUGGUCAAUGGCCGAGAGGCUGAACCAGCCAAGUCGCGUGAGGGAAGACGGCCCUACGGGUUGUAAACCUCUUUUGUCGGGGAGCAAAGCGAGUCACGUGUGACUCAUUGAGAGUACCCGAAGAAAAAGCAUCGGCUAACUCCGUGCCAGCAGCUGCGGUAAUACGGAGGAUGCGAGCGUUAUCCGGAUUUAUUGGGUUUAAAGGGUGCGCAGGCGGACCGGCAAGCCGGCGGUCAAAUCGCGGGGCUCAACCCCGCCCAGCCGUCGGAACUGCCGGGCUAGAGUGGGCGAGAAGUGCGCGGAAUGCGUGGUGUAGCGGUGAAAUGCAUAGAUAUCACGCAGAACUCCGAUUGCGAAGGCAGCGCACCGGCGCCCUACUGACGCUCAGGCACGAAAGCGUGGGUAUCGAACAGGAUUAGAUACCCCGGUA